This 2500-nucleotide ribosomal RNA is filed under the name Escherichia coli 2-222-05_S4_C3. RNAcentral's name for it is "bacterial LSU rRNA". It matches the Rfam family "Bacterial large subunit ribosomal RNA", at positions 1 to 2525 of the family's 2925-position model. Lineage: Bacteria; Pseudomonadati; Pseudomonadota; Gammaproteobacteria; Enterobacterales; Enterobacteriaceae. The record is from RNAcentral.
UUAAGCGACUAAGCGUACACGGUGGAUGCCCUGGCAGUCAGAGGCGAUGAAGGACGUGCUAAUCUGCGAUAAGCGUCGGUAAGGUGAUAUGAACCGUUAUAACCGGCGAUUUCCGAAUGGGGAAACCCAGUGUGUUUCGACACACUAUCAUUAACUGAAUCCAUAGGUUAAUGAGGCGAACCGGGGGAACUGAAACAUCUAAGUACCCCGAGGAAAAGAAAUCAACCGAGAUUCCCCCAGUAGCGGCGAGCGAACGGGGAGAGCCCAGAGCCUGAAUCAGUGUGUGUGUUAGUGGAAGCGUCUGGAAAGGCGCGCGAUACAGGGUGACAGCCCCGUACACAAAAAUGCACAUGCUGUGAGCUCGAUGAGUAGGGCGGGACACGUGGUAUCCUGUCUGAAUAUGGGGGGACCAUCCUCCAAGGCUAAAUACUCCUGACUGACCGAUAGUGAACCAGUACCGUGAGGGAAAGGCGAAAAGAACCCCGGCGAGGGGAGUGAAAAAGAACCUGAAACCGUGUACGUACAAGCAGUGGGAGCACAGAGCAAUCUGUGUGACUGCGUACCUUUUGUAUAAUGGGUCAGCGACUUAUAUUCUGUAGCAAGGUUAACCGAAUAGGGGAGCCGAAGGGAAACCGAGUCUUAACUGGGCGUUAAGUUGCAGGGUAUAGACCCGAAACCCGGUGAUCUAGCCAUGGGCAGGUUGAAGGUUGGGUAACACUAACUGGAGGACCGAACCGACUAAUGUUGAAAAAUUAGCGGAUGACUUGUGGCUGGGGGUGAAAGGCCAAUCAAACCGGGAGAUAGCUGGUUCUCCCCGAAAGCUAUUUAGGUAGCGCCUCGUGAAUUCAUCUCCGGGGGUAGAGCACUGUUUCGGCAAGGGGGUCAUCCCGACUUACCAACCCGAUGCAAACUGCGAAUACCGGAGAAUGUUAUCACGGGAGACACACGGCGGGUGCUAACGUCCGUCGUGAAGAGGGAAACAACCCAGACCGCCAGCUAAGGUCCCAAAGUCAUGGUUAAGUGGGAAACGAUGUGGGAAGGCCCAGACAGCCAGGAUGUUGGCUUAGAAGCAGCCAUCAUUUAAAGAAAGCGUAAUAGCUCACUGGUCGAGUCGGCCUGCGCGGAAGAUGUAACGGGGCUAAACCAUGCACCGAAGCUGCGGCAGCGACGCUUAUGCGUUGUUGGGUAGGGGAGCGUUCUGUAAGCCUGUGAAGGUGUGCUGUGAGGCAUGCUGGAGGUAUCAGAAGUGCGAAUGCUGACAUAAGUAACGAUAAAGCGGGUGAAAAGCCCGCUCGCCGGAAGACCAAGGGUUCCUGUCCAACGUUAAUCGGGGCAGGGUGAGUCGACCCCUAAGGCGAGGCCGAAAGGCGUAGUCGAUGGGAAACAGGUUAAUAUUCCUGUACUUGGUGUUACUGCGAAGGGGGGACGGAGAAGGCUAUGUUGGCCGGGCGACGGUUGUCCCGGUUUAAGCGUGUAGGCUGGUUUUCCAGGCAAAUCCGGAAAAUCAAGGCUGAGGCGUGAUGACGAGGCACUACGGUGCUGAAGCAACAAAUGCCCUGCUUCCAGGAAAAGCCUCUAAGCAUCAGGUAACAUCAAAUCGUACCCCAAACCGACACAGGUGGUCAGGUAGAGAAUACCAAGGCGCUUGAGAGAACUCGGGUGAAGGAACUAGGCAAAAUGGUGCCGUAACUUCGGGAGAAGGCACGCUGAUAUGUAGGUGAAGUCCCUCGCGGAUGGAGCUGAAAUCAGUCGAAGAUACCAGCUGGCUGCAACUGUUUAUUAAAAACACAGCACUGUGCAAACACGAAAGUGGACGUAUACGGUGUGACGCCUGCCCGGUGCCGGAAGGUUAAUUGAUGGGGUUAGCGGUAACGCGAAGCUCUUGAUCGAAGCCCCGGUAAACGGCGGCCGUAACUAUAACGGUCCUAAGGUAGCGAAAUUCCUUGUCGGGUAAGUUCCGACCUGCACGAAUGGCGUAAUGAUGGCCAGGCUGUCUCCACCCGAGACUCAGUGAAAUUGAACUCGCUGUGAAGAUGCAGUGUACCCGCGGCAAGACGGAAAGACCCCGUGAACCUUUACUAUAGCUUGACACUGAACAUUGAGCCUUGAUGUGUAGGAUAGGUGGGAGGCUUUGAAGUGUGGACGCCAGUCUGCAUGGAGCCGGCCUUGAAAUACCACCCUUUAAUGUUUGAUGUUCUAACGUUGGCCCCUGAUCGGGGUUGCGGACAGUGUCUGGUGGGUAGUUUGACUGGGGCGGUCUCCUCCUAAAGAGUAACGGAGGAGCACGAAGGUUGGCUAAUCCUGGUCGGACAUCAGGAGGUUAGUGCAAUGGCAUAAGCCAGCUUGACUGCGAGCGUGACGGCGCGAGCAGGUGCGAAAGCAGGUCAUAGUGAUCCGGUGGUUCUGAAUGGAAGGGCCAUCGCUCAACGGAUAAAAGGUACUCCGGGGAUAACAGGCUGAUACCGCCCAAGAGUUCAUAUCGACGGCGGUGUUUGGCACC